UAGUUCAGUUUUUGAACAUCAGUAGCUAAUAAUUAGGAAGUCCCAUGCCUGUGGAUCUCAAAAUGACAAUGUGCAAUAUUUACUAGUUUUUAAGGUAGAAAUGCAGAAAGAAAGCUGCAGGUAGUAAUUAAGAGCAGGCAUCUGGGAUUCUUUGGUUUGCAGGAUGGCUUAUUGCCUACUUAAAAAAAAAAUGUAUAUAUAAUCAGCAGCACUUUGUGAUGGUUGUAUUAGGCUGGCUAGCUUUAUGCCCAGUAAGUGUGCAGACUGGAGGGUAGUAUUGUAGAAUGAGGAUGUAUUUUUAAAAAAAAAUUUCAUGAGCACUAAAAAUUGCAAUUUGAUUGCUUCCCUUUCCCCCAUGGAGAAAAGCCAGGUUUUUUGUGUGUAAAGAUUGCACGUCUUUGUGUGUGUGUUGUUUCUCAUAUUUGUGUGUCGUAUAUCUCUGAGUACAUGUAAGCAAGAGAACCAAAUGCACAUGCAUAUUGGCGCAGACAUCAGUUUCGCUUGGUCCAGUUUCAUGUUCCCCUCUCAGCAGCUUCGAAGGGAUGCACUGCCAUAGCUGGUUGACUAGUAACAUGUACCAUCUGUGAUGAUAUACAUUCACCUUCUUAUGGAUGGGGAGUUGUGUUCUCAUUACAGGAGGAUACCUUCUGUGGAGGUAGUUAACAAGAGAAGCUAAGUUGCAAAUGCAGCUUGUGUGCAUGUCACUGUCACUCUAAUUUCCUACUUCCUGAUAGAUACCGUUGAGAACUAUUAUUGCUGCCCUUUAAUGACUGUGGAGAAAAAAAUUCCCACGUAGGGUUAAAUACUGUCAGGAGGUAUGUUUGGAAAGCAGUGGUAAUAUGAGUUAAAGAACGGAAGCAGGUUGAGGUGGGUAAGAAGAGGCUUGCUAUGAGAUUAGUUUACGUAGCCUUUUCUCUUUCCCCUUCAUAACUUUUCAGGUCACUUUAAAAAAGUGUCAUUGUCUUGUGUAUAUGGUGCUUUGUAGUGAAAUACUGUAUCCUGUAAUUGCGUAUUUACCACCAAGUACACAGUUGCCAGCUUUUCCGACUGGCAUAUUCCUGACAGCACUUAUUGCUAUGUGUCAUCCUCAGAAGCUUAGGUGUUUUGCAGAAGCUUAGGAAAUAAUGAAAGAUGGAUUCCUUAAAUUCAAGAACUCUUGCUUGCGCCCAAAACUUCUCAGGCUUCAACAACUGUGCACUUUUUGGCUUAUGAACAGGGUUUGCAUUCUGAAAGGCCUUGGCAUUCAGUGACUUUGCUUGGGAAAAGUUAUAUCUCUGCUAUGGUUUCACAACCUCAACAUUAUCUAGCAAAUAGAUUCUUUUUGGUCUUUUUAAAUUGAGUUUAACCACAGUGAAGGCCAUUUGUAUCCAAUUCUAUGGCAUGUAUAUCCUCCUUUGAAAAGUUAAUGUGUUGCAUAAACCAUUACUUAACACAGGAAGAAUCUCUCAUGCAAUCAUCUUUCAUGCAAACUGCAGAAAAUCAAAAUUAUAUACAAGAACUUGAUUGUAACAUCUGUGUAAUUCCACUCACCAGGUGAACAAAAAUGUAUAAUUCUGAUCUAUUUAUGUAAAGGUUUUCCAAUGCUGCAUUCAACAGUCUGCAGUUCUGACCAUCUGUUGGAUAUUUGCAGUGUUCUCAUAGCCGUGUUGUUCCCAGGGCGUGGGAGAGACAAGGUGGGUGAGGUAAUGUCUUCUAUUGGACCAACUUCUGUUGGUGAAAGAGUUAGACUUUUUUGCUCUGCGGAGCUCUUCUUCAGGUCUUACCAUAUCUCUGUAUCAUCAUAUAUCUACUUUUUAGUUAUCUUUUUGCUACCGUUUUAUAGUAUUUUUAUAUGUAAUCCUAUUUUACUAUACAGCUUCAAAAAAUUUUCAAUUGAUGCAUAUUUGUUUACAAGACACAUCUCAAUGUUGUAUCAAGAGGCUAUCUUGGUAUGUGUCAAACAAAAAAUAAACUAAUUCAGUAGUUAAGGGACACUGUCACAGUUGACAGACAUUAAAACUUGAUAUUUGGGUUUGUGGGUAUCUGCAAGGAUUUUGCUUGGCAUCUUUCCUUCUCAUGCAAGAAAUAUACCUAAAUUCUGGUCUUUGAGACCUACGGUUAUGUAUAUUUUUAUUCUGUCUUAAGAAUGGUGCCCAGGGCAUAAUAUGUCCAUUAUUGUAAAGAAAACCCAGGACCCACCAGCAAAGUUGAAAGUGCCAUCACUGUUGCAAUCCUGGUCUUUGGGAAGCUGAUUUGGGAUACCUGAAAAAUAAAAAGGUACAGGGUGACCUGCUAAAAUAGGAAGUCUCUUGAGGAACUGAUUUUAACUUAACGAUAGUGGAUACCAGUGACUGCUGCUUAUUCUGGACAGUAUUAGCAAAAGUUUCACUUCAUGUGGAAGCAUUUGGCUAGUGCCAGUGGCUUAAGUGGUGGUGGUUAUGUAAAAUACCAAGUUUUGGUCCUUUCAGUACAGACACUGCCAAAUGAAGAUUUAGAGGUGGAAUACAGUGACAGUUGCUUUUAUUCUUUUAAUAUUAUAUGCAGUUUUUGAAGACUUUUGUUUUUAAAGGUCUUCCCUUAAUUGGAACUGUUGGGUCAUGGCAGUGAAUUGCCUAGUGAGAGAAUUCUACUAGGUAAUAAAAUGGCUAUGCUGUGAGCUAGUCAUUCUUGAUAGGGCCUCUUUUAAAGGGUGGUGGUUCAGUACAGAGAAAAGUCUUUCAAGAUGACACCUUGUUUGUGUAUUCUUCUCCCCAUAACCUGCUAUCAGCAACAAGAACUUAAUGCUUUGGGCACUACAGAGCAAUUGUAAUUGCAGGAAAGAAAGCAGCCUUGCAGUCUGCCUUGUGCAUCAACCGGCUUGCUGUUUAAAUUUUUUGGCCCUGUCUCUGGUGGUUCAUGAAGCAGAAAGAACAGAACUUUAUCUUCAGAUGACUGAUGGAGCUUCAAGUUAGAAACGCCAUGACUUUGGCUUGUGAAAUGAACAUAUUCAUAUCAGAGAACAGAGUCAAUGCGGAUCCUUUCUGGAGGACACAGCUUUGCUGACAGUGAUCAUGCUUUUAAAAAAGUGAUACCAGUGUUACCAGAUGGCCUUAUAUACGUCAGAGUGUUUGUGAUAGGUACAGUUGCGUAUUUAAUACUUAUCCCUUCUCUUACUUUUGUGUGUAUAGCUGAGAUGUAUAGUCUUAGUGCUUGAGAUAAGCAUACAAGAAAACUCUCCACUUGUAUUUUGAGGACUGACUUGAGCACUGGUUAUCUGCUUUGAGCUGUAUUAAGACCGCAGGAAAUACUGACAGAAAACUCUAAAGAGAGUUAAUGAGCAUGAGACUUAGUGUGGGGGUAUUUUGAGCAAGCUGAUGCUCUGUUGAUGGAAAGUUUGAAUUGUGGGGCAGAUCUAUAGCUGGUGUAACUUGGAAUAAUUGACUCCAGUAGACCUGAGCUGAUGUACACCAGCAGAGAAUCUGGCCCUGUAGCUUUUUAUCUAAAAGGCUCAGAGCAGGGGGACAUGAGUUAAUUUUGGGAGAACUUAAGCAACAUGGUCAGUUAUGGUAACAUGACACAGUAACUUUUUAAAAUUAAUAAAGUAUAAUAGGUUCAGUGUUUGUCAGUAACUUCAGAUUUAAAUUUGCUUUGUUUACAAGUCGGAAAACAAAACAAAAACCCUGCAAACUCAAACUAAGAUCUGAAAAUUGAGCUGGGUUACUUUCUUUGCGUACAGGGCCAGCUCCAGGGUUUUUGCUGCCCCAAGCGGCAGGGGAGAGGGGGAUGCCGCGAAUGCGAUCGGCGGCACUUCGGUGGCAGGUCCUUCCCUCCGAGAGGGACCCACCGCCGAAAAGAGCCCGAUAUGCCACCCCUUCCCCUUGGCCGCCCCAAGCACCUGCUUGCUGAGCUGGUGCCUGGAGCCGACCCUGUUUAUGUAUCACCCCCUGUGGACGAUGUCUGUAGCCUAACUCUGCAGUUGUUUUCAUUGAUGCAGCCCUUUUGUCUUCACUGAUGGUGAACUCGUGGAGCAGAGGGCAGAAUUAUCCUCCUGUAAUUUGAUUCUAUUUUUUUAACUCUGAAAAGAACCCAUCUUCCUUCCCGGUAAUUCUGGCUCUGCCGAGCCCACAAUGGUAAAAUCUAACCGUAAGCACUAAAAUCAGCAGCUCUGACUGAAUACACAGGGGGCAGUAGAUGCCAUUUUUCACUUAUUCUUUCCAGAGUAGAAUUGCACUUUAAAACAGAGUCAGCAGAUAAAGCAAAUUUCUGCUCUGGGGCGGAGUUGUGUACAUCUGUUAACCUCCUAUGUAUUCUACACAUGAUCUUAGUUUGGGAUAAAUACUGUAAUCUUAGACAGUCCUGGUGCUCUAAUGACACUAGGGUAAACUUAACUGGGAAUAAAGUAGCUUUUUAGUAUAACUCUGUUCUUUUGAAAAUUGUACUUUUAUAAUAUCCAGUAUCUUAAUGCCAUUGUGCUGUUAAAAAAGAAAAUGCUGGUAUGUAAUGCAAGUGCAUAAAUAGCCAAAGCUCUGAGAAACUGUUCAGUGUUACUAAACCUGAUUUUAUUUAACUUCCUUGCAUAAGAGAUUAGGGAGACCUUCAGCAUAUUAAAAUGUGAUCAAAACUGAUCUGAUAGAAUUUGAGACACUGACUACAGCUGAUAUGCACUUGAAUGUGUUUCAGCUUUAAGAAGAAUUAUUGGGGCAAAGUUACUAAAUUCUAAGGUGCAGAGUCACUCAUUGAGGAAUUGCGCUGCAGCGACACUUUGCUUUAAAAGUUGGUGAAUUGGCUAAAGUACAUUCAAACAUAAUUAAGGUCUUCCCUGAGGAAUGAGGUGACUUGUCUCUUGCUUCUGUGCAGAAGAAAAUAGUGUAUGGCAGAUUUUU
This is a long non-coding RNA of Mauremys reevesii (Reeves's turtle), 4841 nucleotides long. RefSeq lists it as uncharacterized. The transcript is spliced from 2 exons. Lineage: Eukaryota; Metazoa; Chordata; Testudines; Geoemydidae. The record is from RefSeq and is a predicted model, not a curated record.